This 66-nucleotide transfer RNA is filed under the name Candidatus Zixiibacteriota bacterium. Its description in RNAcentral is "candidate division Zixibacteria bacterium tRNA-Ile". It matches the Rfam family "tRNA", at positions 5 to 66 of the family's 71-position model. Rfam says of the family: Transfer RNA (tRNA) molecules are approximately 80 nucleotides in length. Their secondary structure includes four short double-helical elements and three loops (D, anti-codon, and T loops). Further hydrogen bonds mediate the characteristic L-shaped molecular structure. tRNAs have two regions of fundamental functional importance: the anti-codon, which is responsible for specific mRNA codon recognition, and the 3' end, to which the tRNAs corresponding amino acid is attached (by aminoacyl-tRNA synthetases). tRNAs cope with the degeneracy of the genetic code in two manners: having more than one tRNA (with a specific anti-codon) for a particular amino acid; and 'wobble' base-pairing, i.e. permitting non-standard base-pairing at the 3rd anti-codon position. Lineage: Bacteria; Pseudomonadati; Candidatus Zixiibacteriota. The record is from RNAcentral.
CCCUUAGCUCAGUUGGUUAGAGCAGCUGACUCAUAAUCAGCGGGUCGCAGGUUCGAGUCCUGCAGG